AGAGUUUGAUCCUGGCUCAGGACGAACGCUGGCGGCGCGCCUAACACAUGCAAGUCGAACGGAGCUUGAAGAGCUUGCUUUUUAAGCUUAGUGGCGAACGGGUGAGUAACGCGUGAGUAAUCUGCCCUAGAGUGGGGGACAACAGUUGGAAACGACUGCUAAUACCGCAUAAGCCCACGGUACCGCAUGGUACUGAGGGAAAAGGAUUUAUUCGCUUUAGGAUGGACUCGCGUCCAAUUAGCUAGUUGGUGAGGUAACGGCCCACCAAGGCGACGAUUGGUAGCCGGACUGAGAGGUUGAACGGCCACAUUGGGACUGAGACACGGCCCAGACUCCUACGGGAGGCAGCAGUGGGGGAUGUUGCACAAUGGGGGAAACCCUGAUGCAGCGAUGCCGCGUGGAGGAAGAAGGUUUUCGGAUUGUAAACUCCUGUCGUAAGGGAAGAGAAAGGACUGUACCUUACAAGAAAGCUCCGGCUAACUACGUGCCAGCAGCCGCGGUAAUACGUAGGGAGCGAGCGUUGUCCGGAAUGACUGGGUGUAAAGGGAGCGUAGGCGGGAUGGCAAGUCAGAUGUGAAACCUGAGGGCUCAACCUUCAGACUGCAUUUGAAACUGCUGUUCUUGAGUGAAGUAGAGGUAAGCGGAAUUCCUGGUGUAGCGGUGAAAUGCGUAGAGAUCAGGAGGAACAUCGGUGGCGAAGGCGGCUUACUGGGCUUUUACUGACGCUGAGGCUCGAAAGCGUGGGGAGCAAACAGGAUUAGAUACCCUGGUAGUCCACGCUGUAAACGAUGAUUACUAGGUGUGGGGGGAUUGACCCCUUCCGUGCCGCAGUUAACACAAUAAGUAAUCCACCUGGGGAGUACGACCGCAAGGUUGAAACUCAAAGGAAUUGACGGGGGCCCGCACAAGCAGUGGAGUAUGUGGUUUAAUUCGAAGCAACGCGAAGAACCUUACCAGGUCUUGACAUCGAGUGACGUAUCCAGAGAUGGAUAUUUCCUUCGGGACACAAAGACAGGUGGUGCAUGGUUGUCGUCAGCUCGUGUCGUGAGAUGUUGGGUUAAGUCCCGCAACGAGCGCAACCCUUAUCAUUAGUUGCUACGCAAGAGCACUCUAAUGAGACUGCCGUUGACAAAACGGAGGAAGGUGGGGAUGACGUCAAAUCAUCAUGCCCCUUAUGACCUGGGCUACACACGUACUACAAUGGCGAUCGAACAGAGGGAAGCAAGACAGCGAUGUGGAGCCAAUCCCAAAAAAUCGCCCCAGUUCAGAUUGCAGGCUGCAACUCGCCUGCAUGAAGUCGGAAUUGCUAGUAAUCGCAGAUCAGCAUGCUGCGGUGAAUACGUUCCCGGGCCUUGUAUACACCGCCCGUCACACCAUGGGAGUCGGUAACACCCAAAGCCGGUCGUCUAACCUUCGGGAGGACGCCGUCUAAGGUGGGAUUGAUGACUGGGGUGAAGUCGUAACAAGGUA
Molecule: ribosomal RNA, 1470 nt
Filed under: metagenome
Description: bacterial SSU rRNA
Rfam family: Bacterial small subunit ribosomal RNA
Source: RNAcentral